This 506-nucleotide ribosomal RNA is filed under the name Branchipolynoe tjiasmantoi. RNAcentral's name for it is "partial large subunit ribosomal RNA". It matches the Rfam family "Bacterial large subunit ribosomal RNA", at positions 1807 to 2606 of the family's 2925-position model. The record is from RNAcentral. Lineage: Eukaryota; Metazoa; Annelida; Polychaeta; Phyllodocida; Polynoidae.
UCAAAAACAUUGCCUUUAGGAAUAAUAUUAAAGGUUCAUCCUGCCCAGUGAAUUACUUUCAACGGCCGCGGUACCCUAACCGUGCAAAGGUAGCAUAAUCAUUUGCCUUUUAAUUGUAGGCUAGUAUGAACGGAUAAACGAAAUUCUCACUGUAUCAAUUUUAUACACAAAAAUUAGACCUUAGGUGAAGAUACCUAAAUCAUUUUGAAAGACAAGAAGACCCUAUAGAGUUUUAGUGUAAACUUUUCUAAACAAAAUUUUCCACUUUGGUUGGGGCGACCUAGGAUUAUUAAAAACAUCCUUUCAUAUAAAGAAUAAAUACUUCUUACAAAUGACCCUGAAAUUCAGAUUCUAAAAAUAAACUACCUUAGGGAUAACAGGCUUAUCUUCCUAAAGAGUUCAAAUUGACAGGAAGGUCUGGCACCUCGAUGUUGGCUUAGAGUAACCCACUAAUGCAAAAGUUAGUUUUGGUCGGUUUGUUCAACCGUUAAAUCUCUACGUGAUCU